ACGAACGCUGGCGGCGUGCUUAACACAUGCCAGUCGAACGGAAAGGCCCCUUUGGGGGUACUCGAGUGGCGAACGGGUGAGUAACACGUGAGUAACCUGCCCUUGACUUCGGGAUAACUUCAGGAAACUGGGGCUAAUACCGGAUAGGAAUCCUUGCUGCAUGGUGGGGGUUGGAAAGCUUCGGCGGUUUUGGAUGGACUCGCGGCUUAUCAGCUUGUUGGUGGGGUAGUGGCUUACCAAGGCUUUGACGGGUAGCCGGCCUGAGAGGGCGACCGGCCACAUUGGGACUGAGAUACGGCCCAGACUCCUACGGGAGGCAGCAGGGGGGAAUAUUGCACAAUGGGCGGAAGCCUGAUGCAGCAACGCCGCGUGCGGGAUGACGGCCUUCGGGUUGUAAACCGCUUUCAGCAGGGGCGAAGCUUGUGGUGACGGUACCUGCAGAAGAAGCACCGGCUAACUACGUG
This 464-nucleotide ribosomal RNA is filed under the name uncultured bacterium. Its description in RNAcentral is "partial 16S ribosomal RNA". It matches the Rfam family "Bacterial small subunit ribosomal RNA", at positions 29 to 507 of the family's 1533-position model. The record is from RNAcentral.